RNAcentral lists this ribosomal RNA (466 nucleotides) under uncultured bacterium. RNAcentral's name for it is "partial 16S ribosomal RNA". It matches the Rfam family "Bacterial small subunit ribosomal RNA", at positions 28 to 507 of the family's 1533-position model. The record is from RNAcentral.
GACGAACGCUGGCGGCGUGCUUAACACAUGCAAGUCGAACGGAAAGGCCCUGCUUGCAGGGUACUCGCGUGGCGAACGGGUGAGUAACACAUGGGUGAUCUGCCCUGCACUUCGGGAUAAGCUUGGUAAACUGGGUCUAAUACCGGCUAGGAGCCAUCUUUAGCGUGGUGGUUGGAAAGUUUUUUCGGGGUAGGAUGAGCUCGCUGCCUAUCAGCUUGUUGGUGGGGUAAUGGCCUACCAAGGCGGCGACGGGUAGCCGGCCUGAGAGGGUGUACGGCCACAUUGGGACUGAGAGACGGCCCAGACUCCGACGGGAGGCAGCAGUGGGGAAUAUUGCACAAUGGGCGCAAGCCUGAUGCAGCGACGCCGCGGGGGGGAUGAAGGCCUUCGGGUUGUAAACUCCUUUCGCUAGGGAAGAAGCUUUUUUGUGACGGUACCUAGAUAAGAAGCACCGGCUAACUACGUG